AAGUCUGUAGCUGAUACGUUCUCUCGAAAUUGUCCUCGGUUGAAGGGACCUGCCUUCUCCAAGGCCACAUGCCUUCCCCAGGGCAGACCAAACCAAUCACCUGAUGGUGCAGGAGUACAGAGGUUCAGCUUUUGUAUUGCAUGCAAAUACCUGCCUCAGAGUCUGCUUUCCAGACAACUGGACCUGAGAGGUCUGCCCAAGAAUCUCUCUAGAAGAAUUGGAGGAACCAAGACUGAGCCCUUGGAAUAUUUAGGUGGAAAAAGAAGUGGCUGUCACGGACAGAAAAAAACAUGGGCCAGAGGUCUACCCCUGCAAUGAGAGCUGCUAUCUCACAAAUAAAUAAAAAAUGGUGAUGACUGUCUGAGCCCGCAAGAUUUACUCACUGGCUUCUAAAACACAUCUUUCAUUUCUUUUGCUAGUGAAUAUGGCAAAUACUUCUUAGAGUAAUUGAAAAAGUUAGUUUGGCUGUUCUAGCCAACAUUUUAAAAAGGCUGAAUGAGAGUAAACAGAAUCAAUGAUUAGGUGAAGUGAUUUCCUGGGACUGUACAGAUUGAGUAUAAAGAAAUAUGGCACUUUAUCUGGGCCCAAGAUGGGUACAGCUGUUUGGGUUCUUAUUUAAUCAAUUAGGAUGAAAGGGAAAUUCUGCUUAAUAAAAUGGACUGAGUCACACACAGCUGGCUCUGGAAUGUGAUUUGGGAGCUACAUUUGCAGUUCUCUCAGCCAAAAGGACUCCCGAGUCCUCCAUAGGAUCUCAUCUAAUGUAAUUUCCUGAGAUUGGAAUAUUAAUGCUGAAAACACUACAGGCUUAGAAGCUACAUAAUAAGCCACUACAUGUGGCUUAGAAGCUCUGGUGGGCAGAACUGCACCAAAGGCACCUGAAGUAGGCAGGGCAAGCCUAAGCAUACACACACCCUGCUUGUCAAUUUCC
RNAcentral lists this long non-coding RNA (928 nucleotides) under Delphinapterus leucas (beluga whale). RNAcentral describes it as "lncRNA (ENSDLEG00000013052.1)". Lineage: Eukaryota; Metazoa; Chordata; Mammalia; Artiodactyla; Monodontidae. The record is from RNAcentral.